RNAcentral lists this non-coding RNA (45 nucleotides) under Schistosoma margrebowiei. Lineage: Eukaryota; Metazoa; Platyhelminthes; Trematoda; Strigeidida; Schistosomatidae. The record is from RNAcentral.
AUCCAGCUGACGAGUCCUAAAUAGGACCAAACGAGUGUCCUAGAU